AUUGAACGCUGGCGGCAGGCCUAACACAUGCAAGUCGAACGAGUGGCGGACGGGUGAGUCAUGUCUGGGAAACUGCCAGAUGGAGGGGGAUAACUACUGGAAACGGUAGCUAAUACCGCAUACCAUCGGAUGUGCCCAGAUGGGAUUAGCUAGUAGGUGGGGUAAAGGCUCACCGAGGCCACGAUCCAUAGCGGGUCUGAGAGGGUGACCUGCCAGACUGGAACUGAGCCACGGUCCAGACUCCUACGUGAGGCAGCAGUGGGGAAUAUUGCGCAAUGGGCGAAAGCCUGACGCAGCCAUGCCGCGUGUGUGAAGAAGGCCUUCGGGUUGUAAAGUACGUUCAGCGGGGAGGCGUUACCCGCACAAGAAGCACCGGCUAACUCCGUGCCAGCAGCCGCGGUAAUAC
This 406-nucleotide ribosomal RNA is filed under the name uncultured bacterium. RNAcentral's name for it is "partial 16S ribosomal RNA". It matches the Rfam family "Bacterial small subunit ribosomal RNA", at positions 29 to 526 of the family's 1533-position model. The record is from RNAcentral.